CAGUCGAGCGAGCUUGCCUAGAUGAUUUUAGUGCUUGCACUAAAUGACACUAGAUACAAGCGAGCGGCGGACGGGUGAGUAACACGUGGGUAACCUGCCCAAGAGACUGGGAUAACACCUGGAAACAGAUGCUAAUACCGGAUAACAACACUAGACGCAUGUCUAGAGUUUGAAAGAUGGUUCUGCUAUCACUCUUGGAUGGACCUGCGGUGCAUUAGCUAGUUGGUAAGGUAACGGCUUACCAAGGCAAUGAUGCAUAGCCGAGUUGAGAGACUGAUCGGCCACAUUGGGACUGAGACACGGCCCAAACUCCUACGGGAGGCAGCAGUAGGGAAUCUUCCACAAUGGACGAAAGUCUGAUGGAGCAACGCCGCGUGAGUGAAGAAGGGUUUCGGCUCGUAACGCUCUGUUGGUAGUGAAGAAAGAUAGAGGUAGUAACUGGCCUUUAUUUGACGGUAAUUACUUAGAAAGUCACGGCUAACUACGUGCCAGCAGCCGCGGUAAUACGUAGGUGGCAAGCGUUGUCCGGAUUUAUUGGGCGUAAAGCGAGUGCAGGCGGUUCAAUAAGUCUGAUGUGAAAGCCUUCGGCUCAACCGGAGAAUUGCAUCAGAAACUGUUGAACUUGAGUGCAGAAGAGGAGAGUGAACUCCAUGUGUAGCGGUGGAAUGCGUAGAUAUAUGGAAGAACACCAGUGGCGAAGGCGGCUCUCUGGUCUGCAACUGACGCUGAGGCUCGAAAGCAUGGGUAGCGAAC
RNAcentral lists this ribosomal RNA (753 nucleotides) under uncultured bacterium. RNAcentral's name for it is "bacterial SSU rRNA". It matches the Rfam family "Bacterial small subunit ribosomal RNA", at positions 59 to 773 of the family's 1533-position model. The record is from RNAcentral.